UUGAGUUCCACAUCUAUCUAGCAAUGGAUCUGAGUGCAAGUCGAUUUGAUUUGAUUAGAAUUUAAUCUAACCAAUCUAGAUCCAAUUGAACUAACCCAAUCUCAACAAUUAGAACUCUUUCUAAUUAGCGAUUGAAUUAAACUCUUUAAUUCGAUCAAAUCCAUAAGAUAAGAUUGACAUCUAACAAUGUAUCAUGUCUAUCUGAAAGAUAUAAAAUUUUAGUAAAAAUAUUAAAAAUAUCCUUCAGUGAAAAGUUACCGUGCAAUUUGAUCCUACGAUCUCCCUGCACCCCGAAUAUGACUUCGGAUAUGGAAUGAUGUCCAAUCCAAUAUCAUCUUAUAUUUCUCUCAAUCUUAUAUGAUGAUUCAAUUAAUAAAAUAUUAAAAAAAAAUUAAUUUUUAUUUUGCUUUGAUCAAAGGCUUCCUGAAUCAUCAAUCGAUCAGAGUAAGUAGAAUGCGAUCUCCUCUUAACAAGAGUGAUCGAUUCCAUGUUGACCUACUCACAAUCUCUAUACACAUUCUACCAUAUCC
Molecule: long non-coding RNA, 530 nt
Filed under: Elaeis guineensis (African oil palm)
Lineage: Eukaryota; Viridiplantae; Streptophyta; Magnoliopsida; Arecales; Arecaceae
Description: long non-coding RNA (EGUI_LNC035721)
Source: RNAcentral